This 497-nucleotide ribosomal RNA is filed under the name uncultured bacterium. RNAcentral's name for it is "partial 16S ribosomal RNA". It matches the Rfam family "Bacterial small subunit ribosomal RNA", at positions 28 to 507 of the family's 1533-position model. The record is from RNAcentral.
GAUGAACGCUGGCGGCGUGCCUAAUACAUGCAAGUCGAGCGAACGGACGAGAAGCUUGCUUCUCUGAUGUUAGCGGCGGACGGGUGAGUAACAUGUGGAUAACCUACCUAUAAGACUGGGAUAACUUCGGGAAACCGGCGCUAAUACCGGAUAAUAUUUUGAACCGCAUGGUUCAAAAGUGGAAGACGGUCUUGCUGUCACUUAUAGAUGGAUCCCCGCUGCAUUAGCUAGUUGGUGAGGUAACGGCUUACCAAGGCAACGAUGCAUAGCCGACCUGAGAGGGUGGUCGGCCACACUGGAACUGAGACACGGUCCAGACUCCUACGGGAGGCAGCAGUAGGGAAUCUUCCGCGAUGGGCGAAAGCCUGACGGAGCGACGCCGCGUGAGUGAUGAAGGUCUUCGGAUCGUAAAACUCUGUUAUUAGGGAAGAACAUAUGUGUAAGUAACUGUGCACAUCUUGACGGUACCUAAUCAGAAAGCCACGGCUAACUACGUG